Molecule: unclassified non-coding RNA, 176 nt
Filed under: uncultured Preussia
Lineage: Eukaryota; Fungi; Ascomycota; Dothideomycetes; Pleosporales; Sporormiaceae
Description: sequence contains ITS1
Source: RNAcentral
UCGUGGGGCUCCGGCCCCGUCGAGAUAACACCCUUGCCUUUAUGAGUACCUUGGUUCCCUCCCCCGACCUCCGGGGAGCGGGAGGGACCUCGUCUGUAUCCCCGCGCGGCCGCCGCCGGGGACCGCAAAACACGCUGUAUCACCUGUAACCGUCUGAUAAAACAAACAAAAAGUCA